This 913-nucleotide ribosomal RNA is filed under the name Alternaria alternata. RNAcentral describes it as "partial large subunit ribosomal RNA". It matches the Rfam family "Eukaryotic large subunit ribosomal RNA", at positions 37 to 968 of the family's 3401-position model. The record is from RNAcentral. Lineage: Eukaryota; Fungi; Ascomycota; Dothideomycetes; Pleosporales; Pleosporaceae.
AGCAUAUCAAUAAGCGGAGGAAAAGAAACCAACAGGGAUUGCCCUAGUAACGGCGAGUGAAGCGGCAACAGCUCAAAUUUGAAAUCUGGCUCUUUUAGAGUCCGAGUUGUAAUUUGCAGAGGGCGCUUUGGCUUUGGCAGCGGUCCAAGUUCCUUGGAACAGGACGUCACAGAGGGUGAGAAUCCCGUACGUGGUCGCUGGCUAUUGCCGUGUAAAGCCCCUUCGACGAGUCGAGUUGUUUGGGAAUGCAGCUCUAAAUGGGAGGUACAUUUCUUCUAAAGCUAAAUAUUGGCCAGAGACCGAUAGCGCACAAGUAGAGUGAUCGAAAGAUGAAAAGCACUUUGGAAAGAGAGUCAAACAGCACGUGAAAUUGUUGAAAGGGAAGCGCUUGCAGCCAGACUUGCUUACAGUUGCUCAUCCGGGUUUCUACCCGGUGCACUCUUCUGUAGGCAGGCCAGCAUCAGUUUGGGCGGUAGGAUAAAGGUCUCUGUCACGUACCUCCUUUCGGGGAGGCCUUAUAGGGGAGACGACAUACUACCAGCCUGGACUGAGGUCCGCGCAUCUGCUAGGAUGCUGGCGUAAUGGCUGUAAGCGGCCCGUCUUGAAACACGGACCAAGGAGUCUAACAUCUAUGCGAGUGUUUGGGUGUCAAGCCCGAGCGCGUAAUGAAAGUGAACGGAGGUGGGAACCCGCAAGGGUGCACCAUCGACCGAUCCUGAUGUCUUCGGAAGGAUUUGAGUAAGAGCAUGGCUGUUGGGACCCGAAAGAUGGUGAACUAUGCUUGAAUAGGGUGAAGCCAGAGGAAACUCUGGUGGAGGCUCGCAGCGGUUCUGACGUGCAAAUCGAUCGUCAAAUUUGGGCAUAGGGGCGAAAGACUAAUCGAACUAUCUAGUAGCUGGUUCCUGCCGAAGUU